UGACCUCAGGUAUAGGCUGCAUCAGGGGUGGGGGUGGGGUGGAGGAUGCCAGUUCUUCCACAUCCCACCUCUGUCGACCUCCUCGCCAUGGAUUUGGACAUGGACGUGCUUUUCGAAGAUGCAACUGCAGAACUGCACAGGAUGCCGGUCUUGGAGGCACGUCCUAUAGCCAUGGCUAGGCCGGUGGAGUCGCCGGCUUCUCUUAGCAUCGCCAAUGCGGAGAUAGGCCACGUCGGAGUUCGCGCACACAUCGGUUAAAGAGCCGGAUUUCCGCCGGAACAAGGAGCUUUUCCAGAUUUGUUCAGAGGCUAGCAGCGGCUGGACUAGGAGCGUAAGGAUUGGUAAAGCACCGAUGUAGCGCGAGGCAAACCCAAAUAGGAAGAGUGCUAUGGAGAUUUUGAUGAGUGCUCUGAGAAGAAGACGAGCUGGUUCGAUGAGGUUGGAGUACUAGUGCAGGUCGUGGGUGAGAGGAGAACAGAGGACAGUUGACAAGACAUGACCAUGCCACUUUAAAAAAUUGUAGUAGGGCCAGAUUCGAAAAUGCACUGUGGACAAGCCAUGACCACGGUGCUGUACCGGUACCGCGUGCCAAAUGCUACCAUAAUCAAGGUCCAAUUACUCAAAGAUUGCCUACUUGGAGUUGCUAAUUACA
Triticum aestivum (bread wheat) is the source of this 652-nucleotide long non-coding RNA. RefSeq lists it as uncharacterized. The transcript has 3 exons. The record is from RefSeq and is a predicted model, not a curated record. NCBI's taxonomy places the organism in Eukaryota, Viridiplantae, Streptophyta, Magnoliopsida, Poales, Poaceae.